UGUAAUUGACAGAGGUAGCUUAUCUUCAAAUGAUAAGUUUGAGAAAUACUCUUAGAACCUGAUCUAGUUAAUACUAGCGGAGGAAGUUCAAAUUAUGGCAUCU
RNAcentral lists this non-coding RNA (103 nucleotides) under Spiroplasma syrphidicola. RNAcentral describes it as "TPP sequence". It matches the Rfam family "TPP riboswitch aptamer (THI element)". Rfam says of the family: Vitamin B(1) in its active form thiamin pyrophosphate (TPP) is an essential coenzyme that is synthesised by coupling of pyrimidine and thiazole moieties in bacteria. The previously detected thiamin-regulatory element, thi box was extended, resulting in a new, highly conserved RNA secondary structure, the THI element, which is widely distributed in eubacteria and also occurs in some archaea. Lineage: Bacteria; Bacillati; Mycoplasmatota; Mollicutes; Entomoplasmatales; Spiroplasmataceae. The record is from RNAcentral. RNAcentral also lists the same sequence under 1 other name.